RNAcentral lists this ribosomal RNA (253 nucleotides) under uncultured bacterium. Its description in RNAcentral is "partial 16S ribosomal RNA". It matches the Rfam family "Bacterial small subunit ribosomal RNA", at positions 524 to 776 of the family's 1533-position model. The record is from RNAcentral.
UACGUAGGGUGCAAGCGUUAAUCGGAAUUACUGGGCGUAAAGCGUGCGCAGGCGGUUUUGUAAGUCUGACGUGAAAUCCCCGGGCUCAACCUGGGAAUUGCAUUGGAGACUGCAAGGCUAGAAUCUGGCAGAGGGGGGUAGAAUUCCACGUGUAGCAGUGAAAUGCGUAGAGAUGUGGAGGAACACCGAUGGCGAAGGCAGCCCCCUGGGUCAAGAUUGACGCUCAUGCACGAAAGCGUGGGGAGCAAACAGG